UUCCCAUUCUUACAAUGCACUAGUUCUGCGUUUCCUGGAGAAUCUCUUUGUCAAACAAUUCUUGGCGCUGAUUCGGCAUUAGGUAGUGGCUGCAGUAGCCAGAAAAUAUUCUCUGACGGGCCAAAUGACUCAAACCGUGCUCUCUCUCUUCUGUCAUCUCCAUCAGCUGAGACUCAGGAGAUUGGCUUGAGCCACAUGGUGCAGCCUGACAUGAACCCCCCAGCUCAGUCCCUGAUCCCAAGCCUGAACUUUAGCUUUCCUGGAAUGGAAAGUGGGCCUGUUGAUUCCGUUUUGGUCGCUGAUGGCAGUAGCAAUGCCAAUCUCCAUGGUCAGGGUAUGUUUCAGAUUGGACCUGAUGGGUCAUCUGCAAGCGGAUCUCUCCAGACACUUUCCUUCUCGUGGGAGUAAUAGCACCAUUUCCUCCUC
This 426-nucleotide unclassified non-coding RNA is filed under the name Hevea brasiliensis (rubber tree). Lineage: Eukaryota; Viridiplantae; Streptophyta; Magnoliopsida; Malpighiales; Euphorbiaceae. The record is from RNAcentral.